Long non-coding RNA from Coregonus clupeaformis (lake whitefish), 135 nucleotides. RefSeq lists it as uncharacterized. The transcript has 4 exons. The record is from RefSeq and is a predicted model, not a curated record. NCBI's taxonomy places the organism in Eukaryota, Metazoa, Chordata, Actinopteri, Salmoniformes, Salmonidae.
UAUGUUUAUGCAUCUGCAUGUACGGUGGGGAGAGCGGGUGUUUGGUGCACUGCCGAUUUUGCAGGUUUUCCUGCUUGCAGGGCAUGUGGAGGUCUGUGGUUUUUGUCAUGGGUGCACUUCGACUGUGGGAGACGG